AGAGGUAUCCUGUGAGGUAUAAUGUCGGCUCCUGCAGUGACAGAGGACCAGCUAUUCCCAUUGUGUAUGAUCACGGAAACAAAGACUCCACAAGAAACCUGUAUGGACCAAAUGCAAGAAAGGAAUUUGAACCAGGUUUCAUAACAUUUAGAGCAAUCAACAAUGAGCGUGCCGCCAUGGCACUGUGCUCUGGAGUCAAACCAACUGGAUGCCACAAUGAACAUUACUGUAUUGGAGGAGGUGGAUGUUUUCCUGAAGGAAAUCCAAGGCAGUGUGGAGACUUCCCAUCAUUUGACUGGGACGGACUGGGAGGGCAAGGCUGGAGUGCUUCAAAAGAGAUGAUUGAGGCUGCUGUGUUACUGUUUUACAGCUGAUAGUCAUGUUAAAUCAGUUCCUUUGUAGUUAAAAUAAUGUCAUUUACAUUUCAAAUCAAUCAGCAAAGGUUGUGAUUGUUGUCAUCAGUCACCAGAAAGUGGUGACACAGAACUACAUAUUCAGCAUUAAUCAGACAUUUUAUAUUCUAAAAACAUGAUUGUUGAGUGUGUUUCUGUCUCUUGAUUAUAGUUUUUCCAAUCU
Long non-coding RNA from Thalassophryne amazonica, 576 nucleotides. RefSeq lists it as uncharacterized. The record is from RefSeq and is a predicted model, not a curated record. Lineage: Eukaryota; Metazoa; Chordata; Actinopteri; Batrachoidiformes; Batrachoididae. The transcript is spliced from 3 exons.